UACGGGAGGCAGCAGUGGGGAAUAUUGCACAAUGGGCGAAAGCCUGAUGCAGCUAUGCCGCGUGUAUGAAGAAGGCCUUAGGGUUGUAAAGUACUUUCAUCGGGGAGGAAAAAACAAAACUAAUAAUUUUAUUUCUUGACGUUACCCGAAAAAGAAGCACCGGCUAACUCCGUGCCAGCAGCCGCGGUAAUACGGAGGGUGCUAGCGUUAAUCAGAAUUACUGGGCGUAAAGAGCACGUAGGUGGUUUUUUUAAAGUCAGAUGUGAAAUCCCUGGGCUUAACCUAGGAACUGCAUUUUGAAACUGAAAUACUAGAGUAUCGUAGAGGGAGGUAGAAUUCUAGGUGUAGCGGUGAAAUGCGUAGAUAUCUGGAGGAAUACCUGUGGCGAAAGCGGCCUCCUAAACGAAUACUGACACUGAGGGUGCGAAAAGCGUGGGGAGCAAAACAGGGAUUAGAUACC
Molecule: ribosomal RNA, 460 nt
Filed under: uncultured bacterium
Lineage: Bacteria
Description: bacterial SSU rRNA
Rfam family: Bacterial small subunit ribosomal RNA
Source: RNAcentral